CCUACGGGUGGCAGCAGUGGGGAAUAUUGCACAAUGGGGGAGACCCUGAUGCAGCGACGCCGCGUGAAGGAAGAAGUAUUUCGGUAUGUAAACUUCUAUCAGCAGGGAAGAAAAUGACGGUACCUGACUAAUAAGCGCCGGCUAACUACGUGCCAGCAGCCGCGGUAAUACGUAGGGGGCAAGCGUUAUCCGGAUUUACUGGGUGUAAAGGGAGCGUAGGCGGUGAUGCAAGGCAGAAGGGAAAGCCGGGGGCUCAACUCCGGGACUGCUUUUGAAACUGGAUGGCUAGAGUGCAGGAGAGGCAAGUGGAAUUCCUAGUGUAGCGGUGAAAUGCGUAGAUAUCAGGCGGAACACCAGUGGCGAAGGCGGCUUUCUGGACUGUAAAUGACGCUGAGGCUCGAAAGCGUGGGGAGCAAACAGGAUUAGAUACCCGAGUAGUC
RNAcentral lists this ribosomal RNA (440 nucleotides) under uncultured bacterium. RNAcentral describes it as "partial 16S ribosomal RNA". It matches the Rfam family "Bacterial small subunit ribosomal RNA", at positions 338 to 795 of the family's 1533-position model. The record is from RNAcentral.